This is a non-coding RNA of Podarcis lilfordi (Lilford's wall lizard), 69 nucleotides long. The record is from the annotation of a GenBank genome assembly. NCBI's taxonomy places the organism in Eukaryota, Metazoa, Chordata, Lepidosauria, Squamata, Lacertidae.
GCCAAAGCUCAGUGGUAGAACAUAUGUACUGCAUGCAGAAGGUCCCAGGUUCAAUCCCUGGUAUCUCCA